GACGAACGCUGGCGGCGUGCCUAAUACAUGCAAGUAGAACGCUGAAGGAGGAGCUUGCUUCUCCGGAUGAGUUGCGAACGGGUGAGUAACGCGUAGGUAACCUGCCUGGUAGCGGGGGAUAACUAUUGGAAACGAUAGCUAAUACCGCAUAAGAGUAGAUGUCGCAUGACAUUUGCUUAAAAGGUGCAACUGCACCACUACCAGAUGGACCUGCGUUGUAUUAGCUAGUUGGUGAGGUAACGGCUCACCAAGGCAACGAUACAUAGCCGACCUGAGAGGGUGAUCGGCCACACUGGGACUGAGACACGGCCCAGACUCCUACGGGAGGCAGCAGUAGGGAAUCUUCGGCAAUGGACGGAAGUCUGACCGAGCAACGCCGCGUGAGUGAAGAAGGUUUUCGGAUCGUAAAGCUCUGUUGUAAGAGAAGAACGAGUGUGAGAGUGGAAAGUUCAUACUGUGACGGUAUCUUACCAGAAAGGGACGGCUAACUACGUG
RNAcentral lists this ribosomal RNA (495 nucleotides) under uncultured bacterium. RNAcentral's name for it is "partial 16S ribosomal RNA". It matches the Rfam family "Bacterial small subunit ribosomal RNA", at positions 28 to 507 of the family's 1533-position model. The record is from RNAcentral.